RNAcentral lists this ribosomal RNA (253 nucleotides) under uncultured bacterium. Its description in RNAcentral is "partial 16S ribosomal RNA". It matches the Rfam family "Bacterial small subunit ribosomal RNA", at positions 524 to 776 of the family's 1533-position model. The record is from RNAcentral.
GACGAAGCGUGCGAACGUUAUUCGGAAUCACUGGGCUUAAAGGGCGCGUAGGCGGGUCGGUCAGUCUGGGGUGAAAUCCCACGGCCCAACCGUGGAAGUGCCUCUGAUACUGCGGGCCUCGAGGGGGGUAGGGGCGUGCGGAACUCAGGGUGGAGCGGUGAAAUGCGUAGAUAUCCUGAGGAACACCGGUGGCGAAAGCGGCGCGCUGGAUCACUUCUGACGCUGAGGCGCGAAAGCCAGGGGAGCAAACGGG